AGCGAACGCUGGCGGCAGGCCUAACACAUGCAAGUCGAACGAACCUUUCGGGGUUAGUGGCGGACGGGUGAGUAACACGUGGGAACGUGCCUUUAGGUUCGGAAUAACUCAGGGAAACUUGUGCUAAUACCGAAUGUGCCCUUCGGGGGAAAGAUUUAUCGCCUUUAGAGCGGCCCGCGUCUGAUUAGCUAGUUGGUUGAGGUAAUGGCUCACCAAGGCGACGAUCAGUAGCUGGUCUGAGAGGAUGAUCAGCCACAUUGGGACUGAGACACGGCCCAAACUCCUACGGGAAGCAGCAGUGGGGAAUCUUGCGCAAUGGGCGAAAGCCUGACGCAGCCAUGCCGCGUGAAUGAUGAAGGUCUUAGGAUUGAAAAAUUCUUUCACCGGGGACGAUAAUGACGGUACCCGGAGAAGAAGCCCCGGCUAACUUCGUG
This 434-nucleotide ribosomal RNA is filed under the name uncultured bacterium. Its description in RNAcentral is "partial 16S ribosomal RNA". It matches the Rfam family "Bacterial small subunit ribosomal RNA", at positions 29 to 507 of the family's 1533-position model. The record is from RNAcentral.